UUUUUUAUUAUGAUUAUUGUAGUUGAGCAGUAAUAUGCAUUGAUGAUAGCGAAUAAUGAAAAGAUUUAUUGAUAGAAAAUUUAGAGAGAAUUGUUAAUUAUUCUGAAGUUAUUAUCUCUUGGCCUAAUUGGAUUAUUAGUCCGUGGUGAUAGAGUAUUUGAAUGAUAACCAAGGAAGAAAAAAUCGAUAAUAUUGACGAAAUAUCCCCGAUAUUAUCGUCUUUUUUUUAAAAUCCGAAAUUUUUUUAACUAUCCAACUGAUUUUCAUCAAAAUAUCACGAUAUUAUCAAUAAUAUCAAUAAUAUCACAAUAUUUUUGAAAUUAUCGAUAAUAUCACAAUAUAAUAUUCAAAAAUACUUAAAAAUGUUGAGAAAUCUCAACACAUACUACACUUGAUCAAAGCCCCCAAAGG
Molecule: long non-coding RNA, 411 nt
Filed under: Malus domestica (apple)
Lineage: Eukaryota; Viridiplantae; Streptophyta; Magnoliopsida; Rosales; Rosaceae
Description: long non-coding RNA (MDOM_LNC008162)
Source: RNAcentral